CACAAGGGGUGAAGCCUGCGGUYNAAUUGGAGUCAACGCCGGAAAUCUUACCGGGGGCGACAGCAGAGUGAAGGUCAAGCUGAAGACUUUACCAGACAAGCUGAGAGGAGGUGCAUGGCCGUCGCCAGCUCGUGCCGUGAGGUGUCCUGUUAAGUCAGGUAACGAGCGAGAUCCCUAUCUCUAGUUGCUACUGCUGCUCUCAGGAGUAGUAGAGCUAAUUAGAGGGACCGCCGCCGCUGAGGCGGAGGAAGGAGGGGGCUACGGCAGGUCAGUAUGCCCCGAAACCCUCGGGCCACACGCGGGCUGCAAUGGUAAGGACAAUGGGUUCCUAUUCCGAAAGGAGGAGGCAAUCCCCAAACCUUACCCCAGUUAUGAUUGAGGGCUGAAACUCGCCCUCAUGAAUAUGGAAUCCCUAGUAACCGCGUGUCAUCAUCGCGCGGUGAAUACGUCCCUGCUCC
This 458-nucleotide ribosomal RNA is filed under the name uncultured archaeon. RNAcentral's name for it is "bacterial SSU rRNA". It matches the Rfam family "Archaeal small subunit ribosomal RNA", at positions 880 to 1335 of the family's 1478-position model. The record is from RNAcentral.